RNAcentral lists this small RNA (483 nucleotides) under Malus domestica (apple). The record is from RNAcentral. Lineage: Eukaryota; Viridiplantae; Streptophyta; Magnoliopsida; Rosales; Rosaceae.
ACGAGGCCUUUUGGGAGCUCACUGGCUUCGGGUUUCAUCGGAACUCCUAAGUUAAGCGAGUUUGCACGAGAGCAAUCCCAUGAUGGGUGACCCACUAGGAAGUUAUUGUGUGAGUUCUCAUAAACAAAACCGUGAGGCCGUGGUUGGGGUCCAAAGCAGACAAUAUCGUGCUACGGUGGAGUCGAGCCCAAGAUGUGGUAGGGGCCCGGGCUGGAAUGUGACAAUUUGGUAUCAGAGCCAAUCCUUGACCGGAAGUGUGCCGACGAGGACGUCGGGGCCCUAAGGGGGUGGAUUGUAACAUCCCACAUCGCCCAUGGGAUUAGAUCCUGUAAGCCUUAUAUGUAUAUUCUCAUCUCUACCUAACACAAGGCCUUUUGGGAGCUCACUGGCUUCGAGUUCCGUGGGAACUCCAAAGUUAAGCGAGUUCGCGCGAGAGCAAUCCCAUGAUGGGUGACCAACUGAGAAGUUCUUGUGUGAGUUCCC